Molecule: unclassified non-coding RNA, 1029 nt
Filed under: Hevea brasiliensis (rubber tree)
Lineage: Eukaryota; Viridiplantae; Streptophyta; Magnoliopsida; Malpighiales; Euphorbiaceae
Source: RNAcentral
UUCCUCUUCUUCUUCUUCUUCAGCACGAUUCCCAGGCCAGGCGCAGCUUUGUUGCUUUUUUAACCUAGCUACCUUUUUUUUUUCAAAGAGACGUGUUUCUAGUAUAGGCAACAUGUGCUUGACUUCUUAAAAUUGCAGAAACAGCCCUGCAAUGUUUCCCAGCCGUGUCUGGCCAUUUCUUCCAACACGGGGAAACGCCACCCCUUGCCGUUUCCGUGCAUCACAGUGUCAAAUAAUUAUGAGGCUGAAUCUUUCAAUUAUCUAUUUGAGUAGCAAGUUGUAAAAAUAGAAAAUAAAAAAUAAAAAGAAGAAGCAAAGUUAGCAACUUUUUCAUGUAAAUCUAUCAUGAGCACAAUGAAUUGUGGAUAUGAAUUCUAAUUUCAUUGACAUUCAUUUUUACAUUGAUGAUGUUGUGCUAAAGCACAGUAGAGGAAGAAAAUUUAUGUGGCACAUGACAAAUUAACAUAAUAAAUUCUUGCAUCUAACCCAUGGAAUCAAAUGACAGCCGUUACAUAAUGUAACGACCGUUAUUUACAGGUUUAGAAGGAGGCCGUUACACGUUAGGCUGUUAUUUACGGGUUUAUUUUGGUUUGCAGAUUAACAGCCGUUACUGCCAUUAUGUAACGGUAACAGCUGUUAAAUGACGGUAAUGACCGUUGGCAGAAUUGGUGGGCUGAUGAGGAUAGAAAUCACAUGAUAAAAUCAAUUCAAAACAGUCCAAAAACCACCCAAUUUUGUUCCAAACAGCAGAGAAUAAUUCAGAGAAAUAAUUGUCUCCCUCCUUUGCAGAAACUCACUUUUUCCCUUUCAUCCAUUCUCCACCUUCACAACUCAUUUUCUCUUUCCUUGCAAACAAAAGAUAGCAACCCCCUAUUGGUGGUAAUAAGUUUAGUUAUUUACAAUUUACAUAAUUAUUUUAGCUCUAAAUUAGUUAAUGCUAAUGAUGUCCAACAAUGAUAGAUGAUAAUGUCUUUAUUUGAUGCAUAAAUGCUUAGUAUAUAAUUGUAUCUUAAUUUUAUUUAUUUCUAC